GCCCAGCUGGCUCAGUUGGUAGAGCACAUGACUCUUGAUCUCAGGGCCAUGAGUUCAAGUCCCACACUGGGUG
This 73-nucleotide transfer RNA is filed under the name Ailuropoda melanoleuca (giant panda). It matches the Rfam family "tRNA". From Rfam's summary of the family: Transfer RNA (tRNA) molecules are approximately 80 nucleotides in length. The record is from Rfam by way of RNAcentral. Lineage: Eukaryota; Metazoa; Chordata; Mammalia; Carnivora; Ursidae.